UCUUAACGAAACCGGUCACUCUGACCUCAGAUAUACUGUAAAAUGCUAACUCGAUUCCAGUGCCACUACCGAUUUUUUCCACAGAAAAGUUUAAAACACUUGGAUAUUGCCGCUUUAUGGAGGAUUUAUGAAUAGAGAUUCAUUGAGAGUGAUCAAAAACUUAAGAUCGUGUUAGGCCCGACUCAAACUCCAAAACAAGAUUGCAAAACAAGGGGACCUCAAUGAAUCCGUAAGAAAGACGAACUACGCGACCUUACCCACAAAACAUCGGCCUACGACCACCACUACAAAAACCCUAGUAUCCUUGGAUCGCAAUUUGGCAGUCGUUGGAAGUCGAGGCCUAAAAUCUGAUUAAAGGGCUGAUAGAAGAUCCAUCUACACCUGAAUAGCACAUUAAAUGGCUCUAACUCCACCCGCUCUGGUAACUGUACUGCCUCCGCCCUUUGCUCUUUACCACUUCCCACUACCAAAGCGACCCAGCUCAACCCGCUUGUGGGGAAUAUCCUGUCCGUGCCUGCCUCAUACCUACCUAUCGUUGAUGCUUGUUUGUUCCUUUUGCUUGCUACAUACCCUAGAUUUUAGUUUUUAAGUUUUAUGUUGGUUAUUUAAGUGAAGUUUAAAUGAUCAGAUUGUAGAUCUCUAAACGCAGUGUUACUGAUUUAAUAUAUUAAUGAACGAUAGGAAAUGUCCGGAAAUCAUGUUUUCUUCACAAUUUUCGAAAGCAAACUUAAACAACGAACUAAUACUGAUAUUUAUCUGUAUAAAUGUUUCAGAUGAGUGAAGAAACAGACAAUAUGAUGCUGGUGAGUUGAAGCUCUUACGUACUUUCCGUUAGAUAUGAUGCUGAAUUCAAACGCCUUUUCGUCCGCAUACCCUUAGUCAAGUUUUACGUAAGAGUAUGUUAUAAAUAUUUUAAACCUAUCUAUCUAUCUAUCUAUCUAUAUAUAUAUAUAUAUAUAUAUAUAUAUAUAUAUAUAUAUAAUAUAUAUAUAUAUAUAUACGUUUUUAUUCUAUUAAAUUUUUAGUUACAUUACAAAUUGUUAACAUUACUACUAUAUAAACAGUACAUGGAGAUUUAAUAUUAAACUUAAUGAGUUCAAUAUUUGUAUAACAUUAAAUAAUAUUAAAAGAAACUGUGUCAAUUUUUAUUUAAGAUGUAUUGCGGUAUCCCGUGUGAUGAAGAUAGCCUUGUUCUUAAAUAGCUCUGUGAAACAAAAAGUUUAUAAUUGUAAAUUAGUGUAAUGUUAACGUUAGUUAUAAGAACCAAACAUGGUUAAUCUAUAACAUUAUAUUUGUAAUAAAUAGGAUAUUAAGAAUAACGUUUGAUUCUAAUGUCAAGUUCAUGCUUAUACUUCAAAUAUACAAAUACUAUUGGC
Molecule: long non-coding RNA, 1376 nt
Organism: Homalodisca vitripennis (glassy-winged sharpshooter)
Lineage: Eukaryota; Metazoa; Arthropoda; Insecta; Hemiptera; Cicadellidae
Exons: 2
Source: RefSeq, a predicted model, not a curated record